RNAcentral lists this ribosomal RNA (508 nucleotides) under uncultured bacterium. Its description in RNAcentral is "partial 16S ribosomal RNA". It matches the Rfam family "Bacterial small subunit ribosomal RNA", at positions 30 to 523 of the family's 1533-position model. The record is from RNAcentral.
AUUGAACGCUGGCGGCAGGCCUAACACAUGCAAGUCGAGCGGCAGCGGGAAAGUAGCUUGCUACUUUUGCCGGCGAGCGGCGGACGGGUGAGUAAUGCCUGGGAAAUUGCCCAGUCGAGGGGGAUAACAGUUGGAAACGACUGCUAAUACCGCAUACGCCCUACGGGGGAAAGCAGGGGACCUUCGGGCCUUGCGCGAUUGGAUAUGCCCAGGUGGGAUUAGCUAGUUGGGGAGGUAAUGGCUCACCAAGGCGACGAUCCCUAGCUGGUCUGAGAGGAUGAUCAGCCAAACUGGAACUGAGAAACGGUCCAGACUACUACGGGAGGCAGCAGUGGGGAAUAUUGCACAAUGGGGGAAACCCUGAUGCAGCCAUGCCGCGUGUGUGAAGAAGGCCUUCGGGUUGUAAAGCACUUUCAGCGAGGAGGAAAGGUUGAUGCCUAAUACGUAUCAACUGUGACGUUACUCGCAGAAGAAGCACCGGCUAACUCCGUGCCAGCAGCCGCCGUAA